Molecule: non-coding RNA, 73 nt
Organism: Picea glauca (white spruce)
Lineage: Eukaryota; Viridiplantae; Streptophyta; Pinopsida; Pinales; Pinaceae
Source: Rfam
UCCAUUGUAGUCUAGUUGGUUAGGAUACUCGACUCUCACCCAAGAGACAUGGGUUCAAGUCUCGACAACGAAA